GGGAUAAGCUUGCUUAUCCGCCGGCGACCGGCGCACGGGUGCGCAACGCGUAUAGAAUCUGCCCUGUACUGGGGAAUAGCCCAGAGAAAUUUGGAUUAAUGCCCCAUGGUAUGUAUUAGCGGCAUCGCUUAUACAUUAAAGGCUACGGUACAGGAUGACUAUGCGUCCCAUUAGUUAGUUGGUAAGGUAACGGCUUACCAAGGCAGCGAUGGGUAGGGGCCCUGAGAGGGGGAUCCCCCACACUGGUACUGAGACACGGACCAAACUCCUACGGGAGGCAGCAGUGAGGAAUAUUGGACAAUGGGCGGGAGCCUGAUCCAGCCAUGCCGCGUGCAGGAAGACGGUCCUAUGGAUUGUAAACUGCUUUUGUACGGGAAGAACAAGGGGCACGUGUGCCCCUCUGACGGUACCGUAAGAAUAAGGAUCGGCUAACUCCGUGCCAGCAGCCGCGGUAAUACGGAGGAUCCGAGCGUUAUCCGGAAUCAUUGGGUUUAAAGGGUCCGUAGGCGGGCCAUUAAGUCAGGGGUGAAAGUCUGCGGCUCAACCGUAGAAUUGCCCUUGAUACUGGUGGUCUUGAGUUAUGGUGAAGUAACUAGAAUAUGUAGUGUAGCGGUGAAAUGCAUAGAUAUUACAUAGAAUACCGAUUGCGAAGGCAGGUUACUAACCAUAUACUGACGCUGAUGGACGAAAGCGUGGGGAGCGAACAGGAUUAGAUACCCUGGUAGUCCACGCCGUAAACGAUGGAUACUAGCUGUCCGGAUGCAAAUCUGGGCGGCCAAGCGAAAGUGAUAAGUAUCCCACCUGGGGAGUACGUCCGCAAGGAUGAAACUCAAAGGAAUUGACGGGGGCCCGCACAAGCGGUGGAGCAUGUGCUUUAAUUCGAUGAUACGCGAGGAACCUUACCAGGCUUAAAUGUGAUCUGACAGCUUUAGAGAUAGAGUCCUCCUUUCGGGCAGAUCACAAGUGCUGCAUGGUUGUCGUCAGCUCGUGCCGUGAGGUGUCAGCUAAGUCCU
This 1013-nucleotide ribosomal RNA is filed under the name Arenibacter palladensis. Its description in RNAcentral is "bacterial SSU rRNA". It matches the Rfam family "Bacterial small subunit ribosomal RNA", at positions 71 to 1088 of the family's 1533-position model. Lineage: Bacteria; Pseudomonadati; Bacteroidota; Flavobacteriia; Flavobacteriales; Flavobacteriaceae. The record is from RNAcentral.